This 6295-nucleotide long non-coding RNA is filed under the name Homo sapiens (human). RNAcentral's name for it is "HSALNT0131517". Lineage: Eukaryota; Metazoa; Chordata; Mammalia; Primates; Hominidae. The record is from RNAcentral.
CUUGGCCUCCCAAAGUGUUGGGAUUACAGGUGUAAGCCACUGAGCCUGGCCAUUAAGUCCCCAUUUCUUUGGGGUCAACUAUUAGAGCUUUAUUUUGUUGCUUUAAAGGUGUCAUAUUUCCUUGAUUCUUUGUAUAUAUAUAUUUUUGAAGACUUGCGCUGCUAUCUUCACAUUUGAAGAAGCGGUCACCUCCUUUAGUCUUACUUGUUUCUUAUUAAAAUUUUUUUAAUGUUUUUUUUUAAGAGAUGGGAUCUCACUAUGUUGCCCAGGGUGGUCUCAAACUCCUGGCCUCAAGUGAUCCUCCCACCUCAGCCUCCCAAAGUGCUGAGAUUACAGGUGUAAGCUACCAUGCCUGGCUGUCCCCCAGUCUUUGUUGACUGGCUUUGGGAGAGAAAGACCUUCAUCAGUCAUCCUAGCUAAGGAUUUGAGGGAUCGCUCAGAUCUUUUCUGUAGAUACACCCACUCUACUCCUGUUGCUCCCUCUUAGGGAGAGAAGUCUUAGGUUGUAAGCUCCUCUCAAUCCUCCAAAGCUGGGUCUACACUGAGCACCUCCCAUUUUCCCUAAUGCAGUGCUCUGAAGCAUUCAAGGUUGGGCACCUUCUCCCAGUCCAGCAGAGUCAAGCCGGCUGCUCAGAUUUGCAUCUGCCGUUGAGAUCUGUGUACUGUUUGGGAGGAGGGUGCAUGAGACACCAUAUGCUCAGGGGUACGUGGAGUGCUGGGGGCAUGGAUCAGUUGGUUGGGGGGCCCACAGGCAAGUUGUUCUGUGGGUUCAUGGGCGGGCCUCCUGGUGGAGUGUUAGCUGGUUAGUGGGAUCCAUGGCUGGCUGUUGGUUGCUAGGCAUGUCCUUCCCUUCUCCUAGCAGUCCCCAGGUGACUCAGCCAUGCUGAUUCCUCAGUGUUCUGGGGAGAGACACAGGUGGGCUAUUGGGCAGCAUCCUAUAAGGUUGGGGAAGCUGGUGCUCACUCAGCACUCAGUUUCCCCUGUGGGAGAAACCACAGGCCCAGGGGGGCCUCAUUGGAGGAGCACUAGCACAGGUAAACUGAACCUUCUUAGCCUCUUCGGUGUGCUCUCUUUGCCCUGUGGGGUGCUAGAACCUCUCAGUGUUUCUGUGGGGGCAUGAGGGCUGGAACCUCCUAUUCUGUCACCUUCCUGGCCUCUUCCUACAAUUAUUUUUAUGCUCAAAUUGCCCCCGAUUUGGACAGGGGGAGAGCCUUCAGGCUGCUCCUCCAGCCCUCUCACAUGUCCCCAACGUUGUUCAGCAUUUCCUUAUUUUCCAGCACUAGACAUUCUAAGGCUCACCCUGUACUCUCUCUGCUCUUCCCUGGAAAUAGUCAUUUCUCCAAAGAGUUCUGUUCCCUUGGAAUAGAGAAUGGUAUUUACAAACCAAGAAAUGGAUUUCAGGUGUGCCAGUUGUUUCUGGGGUGGCAUUGCUUCUAGGCCCCUUCGGUGGACAGAGCUGGGAAAGAAACUGUGUGUAUCAUAUAUAUCUGCACACGUAAGCUGUGUGUGUAUCAUAUAUAAUACAUCUGCACAUAUAAACUGUGUAUGUAUCAUAUAUAAUACAUCUGCACUUAUAAACUGUGUAUGUAUCAUAUAUUAAUACAUCUGCACAUAUAAACUAUCAUCUGUACAUAUAAACUGUAUAUCAUAUAUAUCUGCACAUAUAAACAGUAUCAUAUAAUACAUCUGCACAUGUAAACUGUAUCAUAUCUGCACAUAUAAACUGUAUAUCAUAUAUAUCUGCACAUAUAAACUAUCAUAUAUAAUACAUCUGCACAUACAAACUAUCAUAUCUGCACAUAUAAACUAUAUCAUAUAUAUCUGCACAUAUAAACUAUCAUAUAUAAUACAUCUGCACAUACAAACUGUAUGUAUCAUAUAUAAUACAUCUGCACUUAUAAACUGUAUCAUACAUAAUACAUCUGCACAUAUAAACUGUAUCAUAUCUACACAUAAACUGUAUAUAUCAUAUAAUAUAUGCGCAUAUAAACUAUCAUAUAUCUGCACAUAUAAACUAUGUAUCAUAUAUAUCUGCACAUAUAAACUGUGUGUAUCAUAUAUAGUACAUCUGUACAUAUAAACUGUAUCAUAUACAUCUGCACAUAUAAACUAUCAUAUAUAAUACAUCUGCACUUAUAAACUGUGUACCAUAUAUAUCUGCACAUAUAAACUGUAUCAUAUAUAUCUGCACAUAUAAACUAUCAUAUAUAAUACAUCUGCACAUAUAAACUGUAUCAUAUAUAAUCUGCACUUAUAAACUGUAUCAUAUAUAUCUGCACAUAUAAACUGUAUCAUAUAUAUCUGCACAUAUAAACUGUCAUAUAUAAUACAUCUGCACAUAUAAACUGUGUGUAUCAUAUAUACAUCUGCACAUAUAAACUGUGUGUAUCAUAUAUAAUACAUCUGCACUUAUAAACUGUAUCAUAUAUAUCUGCACAUAUAAACUGUAUCAUAUAUAAUAUAUCUGCACAUAUAAACUGUCAUAUAUAUGCACAUAUAAACUAUCAUAUAUAAUACAUCUGCACAUAUAAACUGUGUAUCAUAUAUAAUACAUCUGCACAUAUAAACUAUCAUAUAUAAUACAUCUGCACAUAUAAACUGUAUCAUAUAUAAUACAUCUGCACAUAUAAACUGUGUAUCAUAUAUAAUACAUCUGCACUUAUAAACUGUGUCAUAUAUCUGCACAUAUAAACUAUCAUAUAAUACAUCUGCAUAUAUAAACUAUCAUAUAUACAUCUGCACAUAUAAACUAUAUCAUAUAUCUGCACAUAUAAACUGUGUGUGUAUCAUAUAUCUGCACAUAUAAAUGUGUGUAUCAUAUAUAUCCACACAUAUAAACUGUGUGUGUAUCAUAUAUCUACACAUAUAAACUGUGUGUAUCAUAUAUAAUACAUCUGCACAUAUAAACUGUGUGUAUCAUAUAUAUCCGCACAUAUAAACUGUGUGUGUAUCAUAUAUAUCUGCACAUAUAAACUGUGUGUGUAUCAUAUAUAAUACAUCUGCACACAUGCUUCUCUGUAUUGAAAACCAAAUUGUCACGGACCACUCCCAUUCUCACGCAGCAUUUAGGGCUGUGGCUAGCCUUUCCCAGCUGUAAGAAACCUGUCUUUCAGCAUGAUAAACACAUUUACUUAUUUGCUCAGUCCUCUAAUAUGCAGAAAGUAGUUUUAGAAUUGCCAAAACCAUACAACUUGGAAAAACAAGCAUGAUUACUUCAAGAUGUGUUUGUAGCUCCUUCUGUCCUGGCAUUGGACGUGGAGAGAAAGCACAGACUGUUCCAAGUUUCAUUUUUCCCCUUCUCUGAAACGCAGAGAGCGUUGUUUGUUUCUGUUUGUAUUUCAUUUGGGUCCUCCCUCUAGCCUUAUUCAUAAAUUUGUAAAUGAUCUUUAACAAUCUGUUAUAUUUAUGAUGUUUUACUGCGUGCUGCCUGUGAAAAUGUUUCCUUCUUCUGACACGUUCCAGAACAACUAGGCUUUUAAAUUCCAAAUAUUCCUGUUUCACAAUAAACCAGAUGAGGGCCUCUGUUGUGCCACAGCUUUUGGAAUGUGGUUUAUUACCAAUAGAAGUGGCUGCGUGGCUUGUUAUGGUUUCAAUUACACGUGAGUAACAACCGGGGCCCUUCUGUGUCAGGUGCUGCUGAUCAAGGCUGGCUAAUGGGGACCUCGCUGUCCAGAACGGGCGUUUCCCAUGGCCCGGCCCAGCUGUUUACCACUUCUGUCUACCAUUUCAGAGGGGCUUUGCGGAGAUUAAAUGAGGUGAAGCGCUCUGAGAACCUCAGUCCUAAAGAAUAGCAGUUAUACUGGUUUUUGUAUUAUAUUUAUAUAUUCUUCUUGUUAAUAUACUGGUUUUAAUGUUCAUCGUUCUCUUGGGAUCCCAUGACAGUGAGCCUGGUGUACCUGAGGUCUGGGAUACUCACACCUCUCCCCAGUCCCAUGCUCCCCACUGUGGCAGUGCCUGUCAGGGACCCUGCUGACCCCAGGAAGCCUCGGUGUCCCCAGCGCUGGCUCUGCUCACACAGGCAGCAGGCUUAGUGUUCUCUGGCCUGGCUGCACUGACUGGACCAGGGACAGGGGAAGGGCCCCAAAGCACCCUGUUCCAGGCAGCCGGCCAGUCGUGGCCGAGGAGCUCCAUUCAACAGUGGCACCCAGAGGGGCCAGGGUCUCAUAAAGCUGGUCAGACGCCCCCUCUGGGUAGGGGUGUAGGAAGCGGCUGUGCAGCCGGGUCCCAGGUAGGGAGGCAUAGAGUGAAGGCUGUGAGCAGGAGCCCUGGGGCGGAGGGCCAGGAGAAGGCUGGGCACAGGUCCAUCGGUGGCAGCUGGGUGGGCAGAGCAGAGAGGCUGCAUCUGCACGACGGCAGGGCCCUGGUGUGGGAACAGCAGACGGGGCCCCUGGGUGCGGCGCCUCCUUCCCACAUCCCUGCUGCUCCUGCAUCUGCUGCUGGAGAAGACCACGACGUGCUCAGACCCCGGCACUGGAGAACUCCAGAUGUGGUGAGGGCUGCACGUUAGCUGCAUACGCACAUCUGGAAGGUGAGGCAGACGUGCCCACCGCCUCCAUGCCUGGCCCACAGUUGUGGGCAUGCAGAGCUCCUCUGUGGCAGGCCCAGGCUGCACCAGCUGCCUGGAGAGGCACUGGGGGCGGGGCCUCACUUGAGGGGCAGAUUCUCCCACCCAGCCAGUCCAGGCCCAGCGGCUGGAGCAUCCCGUCCAGCAAAUUGUCCUGCAAGUUGCCCUGGAGACCCAGCGUCUCUCAUCACGUCUCACUCCCCUGCCAGAUGCCUCUGCGGCAAUAACGAGAGUGGCUCUGCCUUCUGCACUGAAUGCCGACAGGUGACCAGAACAUGACACUGGGGUUAUGCAGUGCCCUGGUUGAUAUUCUAGUUCAUCAGGGAGCUUCUGGAAUGAUUUUUUUUUUCUUUUUUUUUUUUUUUUGAGACAGAGUCUCUCUCUGUCGCCCAGGCUGGAGUGCAAUGGAGCAAUCUUGGCUCACCACAACCUCUGCCUCCGGGGUUCAAGUGAUUCUCCUGUCUGAGCCUCCUGAGUAGCUGGGAUUACAGGUGUCCACCACUAUCACUCAGUUAAUUUUUAUAUUUUUAGUAGAGAUGGGGUUUCACCAUGUUGCCUGGGCUGGUCUCAAACUCCUGACCUCAGGUGAUCUGCCUCCUCAGCCUCCCAAAGUGCUGGGAUUACAGGCAUGAGCCACCUCACCCAGCCAACUUUCUUUUGCUUCACUUUUCCUCUGGUUGCCCCAUCUUUAUUGUCAAGUCCUGUUAAGAGGAACAACAUUAAAAUGAGAGCUUUCAUGGCAAAAAGGUUGCUGUGGGUUGAGCUUGCAAUGUUAGCUGCGUGUUAGGAUUCAGCUGACAUCUGUCUCUGGAGUCUCGCCCUUUCUGUAAUUCGCUUUUGACUGUAAUAAAUGUUGUACAGUGAAUGUGUGGGUGGGGCCUCUGAGUUACAUCGGCUCAAGGCCUCUUUUAAGGAGGACCCAAAUAAGAGUGGGGAUUGAUGUAUUUGACUGGGAACCCACUCAGGGCCACCAUGCAGUGAAGCUCCGGAGCAGGGGUGUAGACGCCCUGCUUGAAGCGUUGAGAAGCCCCACAGUACAAGUGUGCAGAAGUCAAGCUCCUCCUGCUGGAGCAGGGACAGGGCAAUAGGGAAAGGCUUUUCCAGAGGCAGGGUCAUUGGGACUGGCUCUUCCGGGAGGAGCUGAGGGCACACGCUGGGCAGAGCUGACCUCUGUGUGCGGAUCGCCUGGGAUGGCGCCUCCGGUGGCCUCACGAUAAAGCACCUCAGAGGCAGGAGAUGAACUUGAGACCUGACCGUGAAGGAGUGAGGAGUGAAGUCCUCUUCUCAACAGAAGGAAACCAUCAAAGAGGUUACAUAAUCAAAACUGUGUUGUCAAAAUAUUGCUGGACAGAGAUGGCGGCUGGUCCGGCACGUGGGAAUGUUGGUGACAAGAGGUCAGUUCGGUGGCUCUUGGACCUCCCAGGCCAGGAGGGAAGCGCCCAGGCCAAGGUGGGAGCCUGAGAAUAGAGAUUUCAAGAGACGCUUCUAAUGAAUGCUCAUCAGAAUGUUAUUAUUAUUUUAUUUUAUUAUUUUAUUGGGACUGGAUUGACUUGCAUUUCCUUCACUAAUCAGAAGUUUGAGGGCAAAGAUAAAUCUCAAAUAAUCACCUUGCAUUUCUGAUGAGUUAAAUGAGUGUGUUUUAUGCCCUGGUUGUAUGAGCUUGCUUUUCCACAAAUAAGAGUGGAAAUUUUAUUUUAUUAUUAUUUUGUAUUAUUAUUUUAUUUUAUUUUU